CCCUUAGAUGUCCUGGGCUGCACGCGCGCUACACUGAUGCGCUCAACGAGUUUACGAUCUUGCUUGAAAUGGCUGGGUAAUCUUUUUAAAAUGCAUCGUGAUGGGGAUAGAUUAUUGCAAUUAUUAAUCUUCAACGAGGAAUUCCUAGUAAGCGCGAGUCAUCAGCUCGUGCUGAUUACGUCCCUGCCCUUUGUACACACCGCCCGUCGCUCCUACCGAUUGAGUGCUCAGGUGAAUAAUUCGGACUGCAGCAAUGUUCGGAUCCCGAACGUUGCAGCGGAAAGUUUAGUGAACCUUAUCACUUAGAGGAAGGAGAAGUCGUAACA
Molecule: ribosomal RNA, 326 nt
Filed under: uncultured eukaryote
Lineage: Eukaryota
Description: partial 18S ribosomal RNA
Rfam family: Eukaryotic small subunit ribosomal RNA
Source: RNAcentral